Molecule: small RNA, 119 nt
Filed under: Pseudomonas aeruginosa
Lineage: Bacteria; Pseudomonadati; Pseudomonadota; Gammaproteobacteria; Pseudomonadales; Pseudomonadaceae
Also listed under: 1 other name
Description: P9
Rfam family: Pseudomonas sRNA P9 (bases 46-119)
About the family: P9 appears to be conserved in several Pseudomonas species in addition to Bordetella spp. In both Pseudomonas and Bordetella spp P9 appears to be located upstream of a predicted threonine dehydratase gene. P9 has a predicted Rho independent terminator at the 3' end but the function of P9 is unknown.
Source: RNAcentral
GUAGUUUCGAUACCCAUGACCUUCGCGACCCUGCUUACCCGCCGCAGCAUUAUUACCGCCAUUCCAGCUAUGGCGGGUUAGCCAGCGUCCACUCCGAACCCGCCCUCGAGGCGGGUUCU